UUUCCAAACAACAUUUAAAUCAUAAAUCAUACGUUAACUGCUUCCAAUAUUGUGGCUUAAUUGUGUUACUAUAAAUAUAUUUCGGUUUUGUACUGUAUCUCACACUACAUCUACUGUAUCGCUAACGGUUACCGUAUAGCUAAUUGCUAUCAAUCAGUUCCAUAUAGUCCGUAUUUGGAAACUAUGAAUAAAUCAACUAUUUCUAAACUUACGUGGAUUAUUUGGCACACAAUUUGGCAAAACAUUCAAAUAUGAUUGCAUACUGUUUAGUAUCAUGAAAAGUUGUCACACAUACAUUGAAGUCUUAUGGUUUGAUAGUAAACAUACCGUACGCGGAGUAGUUAUAUUGCACUUGUGUGCGUUUUGUGAAAUCGGAGAAAAUUUUUCACCAGUCAAACUGCCAUAUUUGUGUUCAUUUCUGCGAAUCGAGUGUCGAAACUUGUUUGAAGUGAAAUAAGGAAUGCAUACUUCUUAGGACUUCAGAGUGGUGCUGCAAAAUAUUUACAGGUAAGUGUUAUUAUUAUUUUUCAUCGAAGUCAGAGUUGACAAUGUUCUUUUUCUUUUUAAGAGUUUCAACAGUGCCGAAGGAUCGUGGAACCAGAAUAUCAUCCCCAAUGCUGAAUCUAGGCGCUGAAUUCAACUUGAACCUGUUUCGCAACUUUCAGCGGAAAUAAAGUUUCUGGAGUAGAUACACGAA
Long non-coding RNA from Aedes aegypti (yellow fever mosquito), 697 nucleotides. RefSeq lists it as uncharacterized. The record is from RefSeq and is a predicted model, not a curated record. The transcript is spliced from 2 exons. NCBI's taxonomy places the organism in Eukaryota, Metazoa, Arthropoda, Insecta, Diptera, Culicidae.